RNAcentral lists this ribosomal RNA (478 nucleotides) under uncultured bacterium. Its description in RNAcentral is "partial 16S ribosomal RNA". It matches the Rfam family "Bacterial small subunit ribosomal RNA", at positions 28 to 507 of the family's 1533-position model. The record is from RNAcentral.
GAUGAACGCUAGCGGCAGGCCUAACACAUGCAAGUCGAGGGAGAAGCCCUUUCGGGGGCAGAAACCGGCGCACGGGUGCGUAACGCGUAUGCAACCUACCUUUCACGGGGGGAUAGCCCGAAGAAAUUUGGAUUAAUACCCCAUAAUAUUAUUGGAUGGCAUCAUUUGAUAAUUAAAACUGCGGUGGUGAAAGAUGGGCAUGCGUCCUAUUAGCUAGUUGGAGUGGUAACGGCACCCCAAGGCUACGAUAGGUAGGGGUCCUGAGAGGGAGAUCCCCCACACUGGUACUGAGACAGGGACCAGACUCCUACGGGAGGCAGCAGUGAGGAAUAUUGGUCAAUGGUCGGAAGACUGAACCAGCCAUGCCGCGUGCAGGAAGAAUGCCUUAUGGGUUGUAAACUGCUUUUAUAUGGGAAGAAUAAGGCGUACGUGUACGUUGAUGACGGUACCAUAUGAAUAAGCAUCGGCUAACUCCGUG